RNAcentral lists this ribosomal RNA (810 nucleotides) under uncultured bacterium. RNAcentral describes it as "bacterial SSU rRNA". It matches the Rfam family "Bacterial small subunit ribosomal RNA", at positions 28 to 833 of the family's 1533-position model. The record is from RNAcentral.
AUUGAACGCUGGCGGCAUGCCUUACACAUGCAAGUCGAACGGCAGCGGGGACUUCGGUCCGCCGGCGAGUGGCGAACGGGUGAGUAAUGUAUCGGAACGUACCUUUCAGUGGGGGAUAACGUAGCGAAAGUUACGCUAAUACCGCAUAUUCUGUGAGCAGGAAAGCAGGGGAUCGCAAGACCUUGCGCUGAUUGAGCGGCCGAUAUCAGAUUAGCUAGUUGGUGAGGUAAAGGCUCACCAAGGCGACGAUCUGUAGCGGGUCUGAGAGGAUGAUCCGCCACACUGGAACUGAGACACGGUCCAGACUCCUACGGGAGGCAGCAGUGGGGAAUUUUGGACAAUGGGGGCAACCCUGAUCCAGCCAUGCCGCGUGAGUGAAGAAGGCCUUCGGGUUGUAAAGCUCUUUCGGCCGGGAAGAAAUCGCAUGGGCUAAUACCCUGUGCGGAUGACGGUACCGGCAUAAGAAGCACCGGCUAACUACGUGCCAGCAGCCGCGGUAAUACGUAGGGUGCGAGCGUUAAUCGGGAUUACUGGGCGUAAAGCGUGCGCAGGCGGUUUUGUAAGACAGGCGUGAAAUCCCCGGGCUCAACCUGGGAACUGCGCUUGUGACUGCAAGGCUAGAGUAUGGCAGAGGGGGGUGGAAUUCCACGUGUAGCAGUGAAAUGCGUAGAGAUAUGGAGGAACACCAAUGGCGAAGGCAGCCCCCUGGGCCAAUACUGACGCUCAUGCACGAAAGCGUGGGUAGCAAACAGGAUUAGAUACCCUGGUAGUCCACGCCCUAAACGAUGUCAACUAGGUGUUGGGUGGGUA